RNAcentral lists this ribosomal RNA (463 nucleotides) under uncultured bacterium. Its description in RNAcentral is "partial 16S ribosomal RNA". It matches the Rfam family "Bacterial small subunit ribosomal RNA", at positions 28 to 507 of the family's 1533-position model. The record is from RNAcentral.
GAUGAACGCUGACAGAAUGCUUAACACAUGCAAGUCUUUGGCGAAGCUGUGCUUGCACAGCCUAGCCAAGGCGGACGGGUGAGUAACGCGUAAGGAACUUGCCCUGCAGUCAGGGAUAACAGACGGAAACGACUGAUAAGACCUGGUAAAGUCAGGCGGACUCAUGUCCAGCCUGAUGAAAAGAGAUGCUGCAGGAGAGCCUUGCGUCCUAUUAGCUUGUUGGUGGGGUAAGGGCCCACCAAGGCGAUGAUAGGUAGCCGGCCUGAGAGGGUGGACGGCCACAAGGGGACUGAGAUACGGCCCUUACUCCUACGGGAGGCAGCAGUGGGGAAUAUUGGACAAUGGGGGCAACCCUGAUCCAGCAAUUCUGUGUGCACGAUGAAGGUUUUCGGAUUGUAAAGUGCUUUCAGCAGGGAAGAAAAAAAUGACGGUACCUGCAGAAGAAGCGACGGCUAAAUACGUG